AAAGAUGUAAUCCGAUUCCUCAAAGAACGCACUGUGCUGUGUGCAUAACCAGUUUUACCUGAUUGCCUUGGGUGAAGAGUGUGCUUUGACCCUUUUGCUAUCUGCCAGGAUAUGAAGAGCUGACUAAGCAGGUUGUGUUUCACAUGAAUGUGGGUAGGAUGUGCUACAGCAACAUGACAUUUUGAUUUGGCGAAUAUGUCAAUACCGCAGAGUUCCCAGGUGAAGACAUUAUAUUCUUGAUAUUCCUAGCCUAAAUGCUAUCAUAAAUGGGCCCUGUUUUGCUUUCUUGGUGAUUUUUGGUAGGC
RNAcentral lists this long non-coding RNA (305 nucleotides) under Sus scrofa (pig). RNAcentral's name for it is "lncRNA (ENSSSCG00025051577.1, ENSSSCG00070004237.1)". Lineage: Eukaryota; Metazoa; Chordata; Mammalia; Artiodactyla; Suidae. The record is from RNAcentral.